GUAGGUGGCAAGCGUUGUCCGGAAUUAUUGGGCGUAAAGCGCGCGCAGGCGGUCCUUUAAGUCUGAUGUGAAAGCCCACGGCUCAACCGUGGAGGGUCAUUGGAAACUGGGGGACUUGAGUGCAGAAGAGAAGAGUGGAAUUCCACGUGUAGCGGUGAAAUGCGUAGAGAUGUGGAGGAACACCAGUGGCGAAGGCGACUCUUUGGUCUGUAACUGACGCUGAGGCGCGAAAGCGUGGGGAGCAAACAGGAUUAGGUACCCUGGUAGUCCACGCCGUAAACGAUGAGUGCUAAGUGUUAGAGGGUUUCCGCCCCUUUAGUGCUGCAGCAAACGCAUUAAGCACUCCGCCUGGGAGUACGGCCGCAAGGCUG
This 371-nucleotide ribosomal RNA is filed under the name uncultured organism. Its description in RNAcentral is "partial 16S ribosomal RNA". It matches the Rfam family "Bacterial small subunit ribosomal RNA", at positions 527 to 896 of the family's 1533-position model. The record is from RNAcentral.